GACGCUGGCGGCGUGCCUAAUACAUGCAAGUCGAACGGCUUUUCUAUGGAAGCUUGCUUCCACUGAGAAGAUAGUGGCGAACGGGUGAGUAACACGUGGGUAACCUGCCCAUAAGAGGGGGAUAACAUCCGGAAACGGGUGCUAAUACCGCAUAGUUUUCUUGAUCGCAUGAUUGAGAAAGGAAAGACGGCCUUUGUGCUGUCGCUUAUGGAUGGACCCGCGGCGUAUUAGUUAGUUGGUGAGGUAACGGCUCACCAAGACGAUGAUACGUAGCCGACCUGAGAGGGUGAUCGGCCACAUUGGGACUGAGACACGGCCCAAACUCCUACGGGAGGCAGCAGUAGGGAAUCUUCCGCAAUGGACGAAAGUCUGACGGAGCAACGCCGCGUGAGUGAAGAAAAGGUUUUCGGAUCGUAAAACUCUGUUGUCAGAGAAGAACAAGUUGGAGAGUAACUGCUCCAGCCUUGACGGUAUCUGACCAGAAAGCCACGGCUAACUACGUGCCAGCAGCCGC
This 514-nucleotide ribosomal RNA is filed under the name uncultured bacterium. RNAcentral's name for it is "bacterial SSU rRNA". It matches the Rfam family "Bacterial small subunit ribosomal RNA", at positions 32 to 518 of the family's 1533-position model. The record is from RNAcentral.